RNAcentral lists this small RNA (123 nucleotides) under Marmota monax (woodchuck). Lineage: Eukaryota; Metazoa; Chordata; Mammalia; Rodentia; Sciuridae. The record is from RNAcentral.
GCUGGGUGUCCUGAAGCAUGCCUGUAAUCCCAGCAGCUUGGGAGGCUGAGGCAGGAGGAUCACAAGUUCAAAGCCAGACUCAGCAACUUCGCAAGGCCUCAACUUAGUGAGAUCCUGUCUCAA